CUAAAACUAUAAACGAUGAAUCUGAAAGCUGCACACUAUGGAACUACAAACUGCAUGAAUUAAAUAGUAAUGCGAAAAUAAUCUGUAGAAAUAAUGAAAACUGAUGCGAAAAUAAUCUGCAGAAAUAUAUGGAAGCUGAAACUGCAAGGAUAAACUGAAUCUGCAAAAAAACUACGUGAAUUGCAACGAAAUAAAUCUGUAGAAAGAAAACAUAAACUGCAGUAGAUUUCAAACCGAGGCCUUUGCGUGCACAGUUUCCUUAACACAAUUUCGCCCCCCCCCCCACUAUAGGUGCUGGAGGUUCAGUUCGAGCGGCUGUCUCCUAGAAUACAAUGGUAAUAAGCAGAAUCCGAGCACCGCAGUCCUACCCCGACGAACUGCAUGUGACUGUAAGGGAACAGAAACUACACUGUAUAGAAAUUGGAACUGGGAAAAAUGACCCUACGUGGAAAACUGGGAAGAAUAUUUUCGUAUGCGGAGAGAAAUUUUCGUUCGUGUAUUGAACUGUUGGAGUGAGCGUCCCUUAUAUAGACUGAGUCCUGUCCAUUGGAGUCACUGGAGUUACGACAUUAACCACUGGAGUUUCAGCUUUUCAGUUCUAGCAAUAAACAUUGGAAGUUUCUGCAGUUUAGAAACUCAAAAGUCAUUAGAGAAAAGCAAAACGUGGACUCUCCGAUGAGGCCAUUUAUACCUUGUUCGGUCCGACAUUCGUGUGCGCAGAUCGUGUCUGUACCCCAAUUCAAGGUCCGAAGACCAUUUCGGUUUGUAAUUUGCACCCCCUACGGGAGCACGUGAAGAGAGCCUCUAUGCUAUACAUAAUUACACAUCUCCAAAGUAUAGCCAUAUAUAAAGUAGUUUAAGUUUCCUUGAUUUUCCUAUGUGAGAUAAAUGCAUUUUUUCCCACAAAAUCAACUUCCAACGACCAACUUUGAGCUCCAAUUGCUCAUUCACCCGAGUUUCAUUUUUGGCAAAUAAAUACAUGAAAUCGAUGUUCUCGCGGAGGAGAACACAUAUCAACUUUGAUAUUCCACAUUGGACUAACGGUUCCCAUCGAAAAUUAUGCCAAAAGUGAGCCGCUCAGCUGCUCACUCAAUUUUUUUUCCAACAGGAAUACCAUACCCUUGGAUUAUCU
RNAcentral lists this long non-coding RNA (1132 nucleotides) under Olea europaea subsp. europaea. Lineage: Eukaryota; Viridiplantae; Streptophyta; Magnoliopsida; Lamiales; Oleaceae. The record is from RNAcentral.